ACACAGUUUCUAAACAGGAGUUCAGAUCUUCCUGUCUUAGCCACAGAGUCUGCAAGGGUGAACCCACUGGGGCUGGUUCUGGGAGUAGAGGAAAGUUCCAGAGAGAAGUGUCUCUGGGUU
This 120-nucleotide small nucleolar RNA is filed under the name Tupaia belangeri (northern tree shrew). RNAcentral describes it as "Small nucleolar RNA SNORD22 (ENSTBEG00000020639.1)". It matches the Rfam family "Small nucleolar RNA SNORD22". Rfam says of the family: U22 is a member of the C/D class of snoRNA which contain the C (UGAUGA) and D (CUGA) box motifs. U22 is encoded within the U22 snoRNA host gene (UHG) in mammals and has also been identified in Xenopus. The record is from RNAcentral. Lineage: Eukaryota; Metazoa; Chordata; Mammalia; Scandentia; Tupaiidae.